AGCAGAUCAGCUCACAGAGCAACAAAUGUGGCCCACACCCAUUCAAGGGAGAGAGAGAGAAAAAAAAACACAUUGCGCAUAGGUCUCCAACUUAACACUCCUGUCAACUUAACAUCAUAACAGUUGCACAAAUUCAUCACGGAAAGGGAGUUGAAAGAAAACGUAUUGCUUGACUUGGACUUGUAUUGACUGUUCAUCAUGGAGGCACCAACAACAGCAGGUACAAUAAGCCACUCGGCAUCGGAAGAGGCCUUCAGCCACAUGGUCAGUCACAUCAUAGAACUCUUCACACAGCCCUCCGUAGCUGAAGAUCUGACAACAACUUCUGCACAUAUGACUGAAACAAUCUCAGACACUUCUGUGGGAGCUCUAACAACAACUUUUCUACAGAAGACUGAAACAAUUCCAGAUGCUUUUGUUGGAGUUCUGAGAACAACUUCUGCACAAAUGAUUGAAACAAUCUCAGACACUUCUGUGGGAGUUCUGACAACAACUUCUGCACAUAUGACUGAAACAACCUCAGAUGCUUUUUUAGUGGGAGCCGCCAUCGUAAAAGGUGUAUCCUUUGAAGUCCUUUUCGUAGGAGUCAUUCUUGUGGUGGUACUGGUGGUGGUACUGGUACUGGUGCUGGUACUGUGUCACAACGGCAAGCAUAAGGGCACUUACCACACCAACGAGGCCGAGUGUGGUGAUUCUGAUUCUGUCGACACGUAUGGUGUUGCCUCUCAAAGCGAACUUGAGAUUUUGAAUGAGGAAGAAUAGAAAGAAGUACACUUCAUUUGAAACAGGACUUUUUCCGAUUCUAAACCGGGGCCAGUUGUCAACUCAAGAUGCCAAAUAUUUUCUACGGAAUUGGUAAUGCCUAUGAUGGUCAUCUAAUUUCAAGGCAACAUUUAUAUGGGGCAUACAACCAUCUCAGCUCUACAGAUUUUGCCACGAAGAGACAGAAUCGUUAGAUCACUUAUUUUUGUAUUGCCCAUAUAUACACUAUAUAUACAAAAUUAUGUGGACACCCAUUAGUGGAUUUGGCUAUUUCAGCCACAUUACAGCCUUAUUUCCCUCAUCAAUCAAUAUAAAGAAACACUUUAAUAAACAAUUAAUAUUCAUUACAUGUGACUAACUUCAAGCUUACAAUUAGUACAGUAGUUAAACCAAUAUCAGAUUGUUGAGGUUUCGAAAAGAUGUAAAAACUAGAGAAAUUUUACAAUCCUUUUUGUCUUCCUUUUAAAAAAAAUGUUUAUACUCAAAAGAUAGUACCUUGUUUGAAUUUCUAUUAUGAGGGUGUUGAGCGAGCUUAAUGCAUAAUAAUGUAUAGCAUUGCUGAAUGUAAUAUCUGUUUUCAAUUUUUUUCUAAAUUGACGUCCAGUAGUAAUCUGAGCUUGUAAAAUGAAAUCAAGGCACAGGCAUCUUUCCUAACGCCAAACUGGAUGUUUUGGUUUUUUUGGCCUGAAGGUACCAAUAACUGAGUAAAGGAAAUGUUACGGCAAGGACCAUAAGAACACACAAAAAUACUUUCAUGAAACUUGAGACAUUUCACCUAUGACAAUACUGGGAACAAAACAGUCAAAAAAAUGUAAAUUCCCCUUCUUCUAAUGCAAGUCUCUGUAACUAAUAUAUUACCAUGUGAUUAAAGAGAAGCGACCUUGUUUUGCCUGAUGAAAACAGUGUCUAAUUAGCAGUAAAACACUUGUUCCAGAGAGGAAGGACUUUUUGUAUCAACAAGGCAACAACAGGGAAGUUUCAAAAGGAAACUGAAGACAGCCGAAUCACACUGCCCCAGCUAGGUGGAAAGGCUUCCAUGUAGUUCAGAGAGGGCAUAUCAACAGGAACGGCCUGAUAAAUGCUCAAAGUAUUAACAUCCCAAAAUACUGUAUCUGUGACUAAAUGUGGUCCAGUUUCUGUUGACGAUAAUGCAUGUCUGUUGUUCUAUCAUGUGAAAGUCCCAUUCGAUUAGCGUUGCGUAUGUAUCAAGCUACACAUUUGAUAAAUUUGCACAGUCAUGGACUAAAUUGUUUUUUUUGUUUUUUCAAAUGAAGAGUUUACUUGUAUACCCAGUCGAAAAAUCGGAUUAUUCAACACAACAUCUGGGUUCAGAAAACCAAGAUAUAGGAGCAAAAGUCUGCACUUCAAUAGUAUGUGUUAAUGAGAUUUAGAAGCU
Molecule: long non-coding RNA, 2158 nt
Organism: Oncorhynchus tshawytscha (Chinook salmon)
Lineage: Eukaryota; Metazoa; Chordata; Actinopteri; Salmoniformes; Salmonidae
Source: Ensembl